Molecule: ribosomal RNA, 465 nt
Filed under: uncultured bacterium
Lineage: Bacteria
Description: partial 16S ribosomal RNA
Rfam family: Bacterial small subunit ribosomal RNA
Source: RNAcentral
CCUAUGGGAGGCAGCAGUGGGGAAUUUUGGACAAUGGGCGCAAGCCUGAUCCAGCUAUUCCGCGUGUGGGAAGACGGCCUUCGGGUUGUAAACCACUUUUGUAGAGAACGAAAAGUCUAUUGAUAAUACCGCUAUACGAUGACGUUACUCUAAGACUCAGCACCGGCUAACUACGUGCCAGCAGCCGCGGUAAUACGUAGGGUGCGAGCGUUCAUCGGAAUUACUGGGCGUAAAGGCUGUGCAGGUGGUUUUGCAAGAUGGAUGGGAACGCCCCGGGCUUAACCUGGGAAAGCCAUACAUGACUGCAAGACUAGAGUGCGGCAGAGGGGGGUGGAACUCCAAGUGUAGCAGUGAAAUGCGUAGAUAUUUGGAAGAACACCGAUGGCGAAGGCAGCCCACUGGGACGCAACUGACGCUCAGACACGAAAGCGUGGGGAGCAAACAGGAUUAGAUACCCCAGUAGUC